AGUCGAACGAUGAUGCCCAGCUUGCUGGGUUGAUUAGUGGCGAACGGGUGAGUAACACGUGAGUAACCUGCCCCUGACUCUGGGAUAAGCGUUGGAAACGACGUCUAAUAUUGGAUAUGAUCGCCGGCCGCAUGGUCUGGUGGUGGAAAGAUUUUUUGGUUGGGGAUGGACUCGCGGCCUAUCAGCUUGUUGGUGAGGUAAUGGCUCACCAAGGCGACGACGGGUAGCCGGCCUGAGAGGGUGACCGGCCACACUGGGACUGAGACACGGCCCAGACUCCUACGGGAGGCAGCAGUGGGGAAUAUUGCACAAUGGGCGAAAGCCUGAUGCAGCAACGCCGCGUGAGGGAUGACGGCCUUCGGGUUGUAAACCUCUUUUAGUAGGGAAGAAGCGAAAGUGACGGUACCUGCAGAAAAAGCACCGGCUAACUACGUGCCAGCAGCCGCGGUAAUACGUAGGGUGCAAGCGUUGUCCGGAAUUAUUGGGCGUAAAGAGCUCGUAGGCGGUUUGUCGCGUCUGCUGUGAAAUCCCGAGGCUCAACCUCGGGCUUGCAGUGGGUACGGGCAGACUAGAGUGCGGUAGGGGAGAUUGGAAUUCCUGGUGUAGCGGUGGAAUGCGCAGAUAUCAGGAGGAACACCGAUGGCGAAGGCAGAUCUCUGGGCCGUAACUGACGCUGAGGAGCGAAAGCAUGGGGAGCGAACAGGAUUAGAUACCCUGGUAGUCCAUGCCGUAAACGUUGGGCGCUAGAUGUAGGGACCUUUCCACGGUUUCUGUGUCGUAGCUAACGCAUUAAGCGCCCCGCCUGGGGAGUACGGCCGCAAGGCUAAAACUCAAAGGAAUUGAC
This 844-nucleotide ribosomal RNA is filed under the name uncultured bacterium. RNAcentral describes it as "bacterial SSU rRNA". It matches the Rfam family "Bacterial small subunit ribosomal RNA", at positions 60 to 914 of the family's 1533-position model. The record is from RNAcentral.